UGAUUGUGGGUGCCCCAGAUUUGGUACUACAAUGGGAACUCUAUUAACGACGACCCGGAAAAUAUCUUUGAAAGCCUCUCCGUUUCUCCCGAGCCAAGCCGAUCCAGCUUGACCGUCUCAGCAGCGUUUUUCAAGCUGGAUUCUAUUUGUUCAUCCCUAACGACCCGAAUUCUUAUCUUUCUCCUGGUGACGGCGGCCGUUGGGGCUUGUGGUUGAGUUGAUAUUUGUUCACUGUAUAGAGCCAUGUCGUAGAUUCAAAUAAUUCUACGUAAGAAGCAAUGACAGGAUGCGACUUUGUCCGGCUUGUGCAAUUUCCAAGAUUCUCCUAUUUACCUCUGGUACUUUACAUACCUAUGCGCCUUUGACGAUGUCCGUAGCCUUCGGCUUCUACCGCAUCCAUUUCGCGUUGAAAUUUAGCUUCUAUGCAGCAGCUCUCGCCAUAUUACUUCGUAAUGAUAAUCAACAUCUACCCAAAAAUAUGUUCGAUAUAUGAUAGUAGCCUAGAGAAGAAUGCCUCUUCUGCAAAGCUAUAGUCCAUCUGUUCAGCCGGAACUCAGUCAUGCUUUAUACCUGUUGACUAUCUUAAUGAUUUUGCAUGCUGCUGACCGUCAGUUUUUCAUUAUAACUUUCCUGAAAAUUGCGGAAAAUUGCUAGAUUACGUGAGGCAGCGUCAGCUGGCCAAUUAAAAAGAACGAAGCUUACACCACUGAAAUCGUCAACAUGUUGCUUCUAAAAAUCUUGCCCCAUCACGUCGUGACCAACUGUAUCACGAAUAACACAAACGAGUGGCCGUCAUGUUUGCCUCUAUUCCACAUUUUAUGGACUAUUUCGCAGAAAAUGACAUCGACGAUGGCGGCCUUCGUUACUUAGAAGUCCUCAACUCGACAUCAGCGGGUUUGAUGCGUUGUCAUUCGAGGAAUCCUUCUCCCGUAUUGAGAAACUCAAAAUUGUGGGCAGCAUCAGGUCUAACGUCCGAAAUGGAUGAAUCACACUGAUCACCAUGAUGAUGUAAGUCUUCUUUGGCAAUGUGCACGGUAAUUGAGCAGUUGAACCGAAAGCGAUCGCACAACUUCCGACUGUAGAUCGUAAUUGAAUACGGACCGGUUAUUGCGGGAGUUGUUGGAACGCAGAAACCGCUUUACGACAUUCGGGGUGAUACGUUCAACACGGCAUCCCGGUUGGAGCACACUAGUCAAUUGGAUGACAUUCAAGUUACAAAAAAAAAACGGCCAAAUUACUGGAAGCUGUUGGUAUCUACUGUGAGAAUCGAGGCGUAACGUUCUUGAAAGAAAAAUUCCUCGUAUGACAUACUGGGUGCGUCUGGAGGAGUUAGAUUUCUACGAUUCUCUUCAAAGUUCCUCGGUCGCGAUUAAGAGCUUCCUCAUCGGUUUGAGCGACAUGUUAUUAACAUCGACUUCGGCUCGCAGUUCACUUAGCCGCAAACCAAUCCGGCUGUCCGUUCUGAUUGAAGAAGACAAAGAAGAACUUUCCAGUCAAAAAGUGUGGGAGCUAAUCCAGACUCUCUUCUCACAUCACCUCAGACUCUCAUGAAAUUCGAGUUGUACGAAGAUGUCGAUACUGUGUCACUGUCGAAUGAAGACGUUAAUUUAAAUAUUUAUGAUGAAGAUGAAAUGACGCAUCUCUAAAAAAAAAAUUCCCCUUUCUUCUUUAAUUCUUUUUUUAACUCAACUGCCUCAUCGUUAAAGUUCUAAGGCACUCAACUUCUUUAU
RNAcentral lists this long non-coding RNA (1730 nucleotides) under Daphnia pulicaria. Its description in RNAcentral is "uncharacterized LOC124335921". Lineage: Eukaryota; Metazoa; Arthropoda; Branchiopoda; Diplostraca; Daphniidae. The record is from RNAcentral.